RNAcentral lists this long non-coding RNA (590 nucleotides) under Athene cunicularia (burrowing owl). RNAcentral's name for it is "lncRNA (ENSACUG00000001451.1)". The record is from RNAcentral. Lineage: Eukaryota; Metazoa; Chordata; Aves; Strigiformes; Strigidae.
GGGGAGCUGCCGGAGAGCAAAGGGGGUGAAGCCCAGGUGAGUGAGGCGCAGCGGUGCCUGCUGCGUUGGGGUAGGAGUGGGUGAAAGAGCCGGCGCUUGCGAUGCCGUUGCAGCUGCAGAAAGCAACUCUUCUCUUAAAACUGAGGAAACGUAAACGCGAUACAAACCUGUGCGGGACGUGACUGACCGAUAUCGCUGGUAUCUGCUGGGGAGCGAUGCCGGCCGGGAGGCAGCAGCCCCUCGGCCGGGCAAAGGAGGGGGAGGGGGUCACGGCCACCUCCCACACCACUGCAAGCCAGAUCGUAAGCAGCCUGAGCCCUCCCUGUGGCAGCCCACUCCUCUCCCUCGCCUUGGGGCUGGCUGUGGCUUUCUUCCUGCGGCUGCGCUGACCCCCUACGCCCCCUCCCCAGGGAGACACCCCCAGGAUGGCAUCCCUGGCCUUGGCACCUCCUUGGACCCUUGCAGCACAGAGGAGCAGCCUGUACCCUGCCCUGCCUGCCUCUGCUCCCCUCAGCCUCAAAAUAACCCCCCUAAACUGCCCCAGCUCGGGAACAGGCCUGCUGUGAGAUUCUGAGAAAUAAAGCUGGUGU